AGAGUUUGAUCCUGGCUCAGGAUGAACGCUGGCGGCGUGCCUAACACAUGCAAGUCGAACGGUUAAGGCGGCUUCGGCCGCGGAUAAAGUGGCGAACGGGUGAGUAACGCGUGACCGACCUUCCCCCCGCACCGGGACAACCGCGGGAAACCGCGGCUGAUACCGGGUACUCCGGGGCCCCCGCAUGGGGGCCCCGGGAAAGCUCCGGCGGCGGGGGAUGGGGUCGCGUCCCAUCAGGUAGUAGGCGGGGCAACGGCCCACCUAGCCGACGACGGGUAGCCGGGUUGAGAGACCGACCGGCCACAUUGGGACUGAGAUACGGCCCAGACUCCUACGGGAGGCAGCAGUGGGGAAUUUUGCGCAAUGGGGGCAACCCUGACGCAGCAACGCCGCGUGCGGGACGACGGCCUUCGGGUUGUAAACCGCUUUCAGCAGGGAAGAACCUCUGACGGUACCUGCAGAAGAAGCCCCGGCUAACUACGUGCCAGCAGCCGCGGUAAUACGUAGGGGGCGAGCGUUAUCCGGAAUGAUUGGGCGUAAAGCGCGCGCAGGCGGCCGCUCAAGCGGGACCUCUAACCCCGGGGCUCAACCCCGGGCCGGGUCCCGAACUGGGCGGCUCGAGUGCGGUAGGGGAGAGCGGAAUUCCAAGUGUAGCGGUGAAAUGCGCAGAUAUUUGGAAGAACACCGAUGGCGAAGGCAGCUCUCUGGGCCGUCACUGACGCUGAGGCGCGAAAGCCGGGGGAGCGAACAGGAUUAGAUACCCUGGUAGUCCCGGCCGUAAACGAUGGGCGCUAGGUGUGGGGGGACAUUCCCUCCGUGCCGCAGCCAACGCAUUAAGCGCCCCGCCUGGGGAGUACGGCGGCAACGCUAAAACUCAAAGGAAUUGACGGGGGCCCGCACAAGCAGCGGAGCAUGUGGCUUAAUUCGAAGCAACGCGAAGAACCUUACCAGGGCUUGACAUCCGGGUGAAGCGGCGGAGACGCCGUGGCCGAGAGGAGCCCGGACAGGUGGUGCAUGGCUGUCGUCAGCUCGUGCCGUGAGGUGUUGGGUUAAGUCCCGCAACGAGCGCAACCCCCGUCGCGUGUUGCCAGCAACUCGGUUGGGCACUCGCGCGAGACUGCCGGCGUCAAGCCGGAGGAAGGUGGGGACGACGUCAAGUCAUCAUGCCCCUUAUGCCCUGGGCUGCACACGUGCUACAAUGGCC
This 1204-nucleotide ribosomal RNA is filed under the name human gut metagenome. RNAcentral's name for it is "bacterial SSU rRNA". It matches the Rfam family "Bacterial small subunit ribosomal RNA", at positions 8 to 1235 of the family's 1533-position model. The record is from RNAcentral.